AUGACACUCAUUCAUUCAGUUGUGCAACCUCCCGCGUCCACCUCGAAAUUCUUGAUAAGAUCUAGCAGGUUACCAAGCGACGACCCGCCCUUCUGCACGGCCGCCCUCGCCUUCUCCGAGAGCGCCAGCGCCUUCCUCCUCCUCUCGCCCCCCUCUCCUCCUCCGUCCAUGAUGUUCCUGACCGCCGCCUCCACCACCUCUCUACCCACCACGACCCCCUUCUUCGCCGCCCACAGCAAUGGCUCCUUAAUACCGACGCUCACGCCUAUUCCCAGCACCUCCACGGCCAGCUUCUCGUUCAAGAACUGGUCCGAGAAGUGCGGCCAUGUCACCACUGGCAGCCCGGCCGUGAUCGCCUCCAAUGUCGAGUUCCACCCGCAGUGCGUCACGAAGCCACCCACCGCCACGUGGUUCAGGAUAAGCACCUGUGGCGACCACCCUCUGAUCAGCAUCCCGCGGCCGGCGACGCGCUCCUCGAGGUCCUGCAGGAACUCGCGCACGUCCUCGCUGUAUUGGUCGGGGUUCUUCAGAACCCAGACGAACGGGUGCCCCGACGCCUCGAGCCCGAGCCCGAGCUCGACGGUCUGCUUCGGGUCGGCGUGCACGAUGCUCCCGAAGCUGACGUACACGACGGUGCUGGGCUCCUUGCCCUGGAGCCAUCGGAGGCACUCGUCGGCGUCAAUGGCGGUGGUGGUGUUCCCUCUCUUUGCUAGCGUGGCGGCGUGCUGGUGGUACAGCGACACCGGCCCGAUGGUCCACAGCUUCAAGUUCCUGGCGGCCGCGUACCCAGCGACGUACUCCGGCUCCAUCUCCAGGAAGGAGUUCAUGACGACGCCAUCGGACUCAGCUAGCGCCAACUCGAUUUCAUCGGCUAGCUUCUCGAACCCGGGCGCCCGGAAGAACCCGGGGGCUUGCGCCCUGGUCACCUCGAUUCGCCUCUCCAGGCCCGGUACGACCACCGGCUCGUUGUCGUCGGCCACGGCGUCGUAG
This 990-nucleotide ribosomal RNA is filed under the name Triticum aestivum (bread wheat). RNAcentral's name for it is "partial small subunit ribosomal RNA". Lineage: Eukaryota; Viridiplantae; Streptophyta; Magnoliopsida; Poales; Poaceae. The record is from RNAcentral.